GGGAGAAAACCCGCACCAGCAGCAAAGCAGAAGUUGCAGGGAAGUUGCCUCUUUGGCCAGCGCCUUGCAGAUUCCCCACCUCAGGGAAGGGAAGGCCUGCUGGUUCACCAAGGGGACUGGAACUUAAUCUUCCUUCAAUCUCACUCUCUGAAGAGAAAACAGGAUAAACAGAGGGAAACCAAAGAGACUGAGUCCUAAUAGGAUUUUGUGCUUUGUUUAAGCUUUGCCCGUAUAUAUGGCCUGGGACUAAAAUAAAUGGAUGGCGAGGCCAGAAAUGCAA
Long non-coding RNA from Anolis sagrei ordinatus, 280 nucleotides. RefSeq lists it as uncharacterized. The record is from RefSeq and is a predicted model, not a curated record. Lineage: Eukaryota; Metazoa; Chordata; Lepidosauria; Squamata; Anolidae.